RNAcentral lists this small nucleolar RNA (82 nucleotides) under Buceros rhinoceros silvestris. The record is from RNAcentral. Lineage: Eukaryota; Metazoa; Chordata; Aves; Bucerotiformes; Bucerotidae.
UGGUUUAUAUGAUGAGUAAAACAAAAAAUCACCAUCUUUCGGCUGAUAGUUGUGAUGAUUUGUUCUUACCUGAUAAAUUCCA